CAAACCAAGAUACAAGAGUGAAACUUACAAAAUUAUCUUCGCUUCAUGCAAACUUUCAAUUCAUGCUCCGACAUUUUCUCAGAAAAUCUCCAAAUAACGGACGUUCAAAGGACUCGUUACAGAAGAAGAACAAAAGGGCUUAUUCUCCAAAAAAAUUUCUAGGCCCCUCUACGGGAUUGGAAAAAUAAGCUUUCACGGUAAGGCGGUGGGCGAUUCCACCAACACUUCCAAUUUCGUCCACAGCUGGGUGGUGGUUGAUUUCAGUGAGAAAGAGGAGUGAGUUUAGGGAUUUUGUGUGUGUCGGUUUCUCUUCCUCAUCGACGGUCAGUGGUUGAUUUCAGUUAGAGAGAAGAGUGAGUUUAGGGAUUUUGUGUGUCGGUUUCUCUUCCUCCUCAAUGGCCGAUGGUUGAUUUCAGAGUGGGAGAGAGAGGAAUGAGUUUAGUGAUUUUGUGUGUCGAUUUUCCUUCCUUCGUUUUGUUUUCAUUUGACGGCUUUUUUAUAGAAAAUUUAAAAGGUGAUAGUUUUUAUAAUGCACACCCAAAUUUUGACACCCAAUAAAAUUUCCUCUUUUUCAAAUGUAGAUGUGUGGAAAUCGGUUCCUACCAAAUAAGGAUGGGAGCCAAAAUUGAUUGAAGAAUAUUUUACAUUCCAAAAUUAUUGUAGAAUAGAAUAUGUAUUUAUUUCCUACUGUUUUUAGGAGAUUAAUUUUUUUCCUUACUUACAAAGUUCUGUAUAUUAAAAAUUGUAUUCCUUUCAUUGUAUCAAUUAAUUGGAAAUCAAUAUAAUUCGUUUCCUACAUGGUAUAAGAGCAGUUUUGUUUCUAACCUAACCAAUACAUGGCUAAAUCAGCCACGAUAGACAAGGACUGUAUAAUCUCUUAUUCAGAGGUAAAAGCCACCUCUGCCAUGAAUACAUGAGGAAUUGAAAAUUCAGUUCUCCAACUAUCGAUAGAGAAACUGAAUGGAAGAAACUGCAGAGAAUGGGCGUAGUCGAUAAAACUAAUAAUCAACAGAAAAGGGAAACUUGGAUAUGUAACAGACCUCAACCAACGCUGCUUUCCUUUAAAAGUGGAAGUCGGAGAAUUCGAUGGUGAGUACCUGGCUUGUCAACUCUAUGAAGCCUGUUAUCGAGAAAACAUACAUAUUUCUUCCAAUUGCAAAUGACAUCUAGGAGGCGGUCAUAGAAAUGUAUUCUAACUCAGAGAACUUCUCGAAAUUUUUUGAAAUCAAGUUGAAGUUAUGGCAAACAAAGCAAGGGGACCGUGAAGUGGCGGAUUACUACCUGGAGAUGAUCGGACUAGG
This 1301-nucleotide long non-coding RNA is filed under the name Olea europaea subsp. europaea. Lineage: Eukaryota; Viridiplantae; Streptophyta; Magnoliopsida; Lamiales; Oleaceae. The record is from RNAcentral.